CCUACGGGAGGCAGCAGUAAGGAAUAUUGGUCAAUGGACGCAAGUCUGAACCAGCCAUGCCGCGUGAAGGAUUAAGGCCCUCUGGGUUGUAAACUUCUUUUAUAGGGGACGAAAAAAGGGCAUUCUUGCUCACUUGACGGUACCCUAGGAAUAAGCACCGGCUAACUCCGUGCCAGCAGCCGCGGUAAUACGGAGGGUGCAAGCGUUAUCCGGAUUUACUGGGUUUAAAGGGUGCGUAGGUGGGUUGGUAAGUCAGUGGUGAAAUCUUCGAGCUUAACUCGGAAACUGCCAUUGAUACUAUCAAUCUUGAAUCAUCUAGAGGUAAGCGGAAUAUGUCAUGUAGCGGUGAAAUGCUUAGAUAUGACAUAGAACACCGAUUGCGAAGGCAGCUUACUAUGGAUGUAUUGACACUGAGGCACGAAAGCGUGGGGAUCAAACAGGAUUAGAUACCCUGGUAGUCCACGCCCUAAACGAUGGAUACUCGACAUUUGUGAUAUACUAUAAGUGUCUGAGNGAAGANAUAGUAUCCACCNGGAGACGACGCGAGUAGAACGUACAAGAGUAGUAGCGNGAGAGAGACGACGACGACGACGACGGAGGGAGGAG
RNAcentral lists this ribosomal RNA (606 nucleotides) under uncultured bacterium. RNAcentral describes it as "bacterial SSU rRNA". The stretch from base 1 to 532 matches the Rfam family "Bacterial small subunit ribosomal RNA", at positions 338 to 873 of the family's 1533-position model. The record is from RNAcentral.